RNAcentral lists this ribosomal RNA (468 nucleotides) under uncultured bacterium. Its description in RNAcentral is "bacterial SSU rRNA". It matches the Rfam family "Bacterial small subunit ribosomal RNA", at positions 330 to 795 of the family's 1533-position model. The record is from RNAcentral.
GCCAGACUCCUACGGGAGGCAGCAGUGAGGAAUAUUGGUCAAUGGGCGGAAGCCUGAACCAGCCAAGUCGCGUGAGGGAAUAAGGCCCUACGGGUCGUAAACCUCUUUUGCCGGGGAGCAAGGGCGGGGACGUGUCCCGGCCCGGAGAGUACCCGGAGAAAAAGCAUCGGCUAACUCCGUGCCAGCAGCCGCGGUAAUACGGAGGAUGCGAGCGUUAUCCGGAUUUAUUGGGUUUAAAGGGUGCGUAGGCGGACUGGAAAGUCAGCGGUAAAAUCGAGAGGCUCAACCUCUUUCCGCCGUUGAAACUGUCGGUCUUGAGUGGGCGAGAAGUAUGCGGAAUGCGUGGUGUAGCGGUGAAAUGCAUAGAUAUCACGCAGAACUCCGAUUGCGAAGGCAGCAUGCCGGCGCCCGACUGACGCUGAGGCACGAAAGCGUGGGUAUCGAACAGGAUUAGAUACCCCCGUAUUU